Molecule: ribosomal RNA, 497 nt
Filed under: uncultured bacterium
Lineage: Bacteria
Description: partial 16S ribosomal RNA
Rfam family: Bacterial small subunit ribosomal RNA
Source: RNAcentral
GAUGAACGCUGGCGGCGUGCCUAAUACAUGCCAGUCGAGCGAACGGACGAGAAGCUUGCUUCUUUGAUGUUAGCGGCGGACGGGUGAGUAACACGUGGAUAACCUACCUAUAAGACUGGGAUAACUUCGGGAAACCGUAGCUAAUACCGGAUAAUAUUUUGAACCGCAUGGUUCAAAAGUGAAAGACGGUCUUGCUGUCACUUAUAGAUGGAUCCGCGCUGCAUUAGCUAGUUGGUAAGGUAACGGCUUACCAAGGCAACGAUGCAUAGCCGACCUGAGAGGGUGAUCGGCCACACUGGAACUGAGACACGGUCCAGACUCCUACGGGAGGCAGCAGUAGGGAAUCUUCCGCAAUGGGCGAAAGCCUGACGGAGCAACGCCGCGUGAGUGAUGAAGGUCUUCGGAUCGUAAAACUCUGUUAUUAGGGAAGAACAUAUGUGUAAGUAACUGUGCACAUCUUGACGGUACCUAAUCAGAAAGCCACGGCUAACUACGUG